This 463-nucleotide ribosomal RNA is filed under the name uncultured bacterium. RNAcentral describes it as "bacterial SSU rRNA". It matches the Rfam family "Bacterial small subunit ribosomal RNA", at positions 331 to 792 of the family's 1533-position model. The record is from RNAcentral.
CCAGACUCCUACGGGAGGCAGCAGUGAGGAAUAUUGGUCAAUGGCCGAGAGGCUGAACCAGCCAAGUCGCGUGAGGGAUGACGGCCCUACGGGUUGUAAACCUCUUUUGCCGGGGAGCAAAGAGCGGGACGCGUCCCGCCUCGAGAGUACCCGGAGAAAAAGCAUCGGCUAACUCCGUGCCAGCAGCCGCGGUAAUACGGAGGAUGCGAGCGUUAUCCGGAUUUAUUGGGUUUAAAGGGUGCGCGGGCGGGAGCGAAAGAGGGGGAUAAAAGUGGGGGGCUCACCCUCCGCCCGCCGUUGAAACUGCGUUUCUUGAGUGGGCGAGAAGUACGCGGAAUGCGUGGUGUAGCGGUGAAAUGCAUAGAUAUCACGCAGAACUCCGAUUGCGAAGGCAGCGUACCGGCGCCCAACUGACGCUGAAGCACGAAAGCGUGGGUAUCGAACAGGAUUAGAUACCCCCGUA